GAAGAGAGAGUUCAAGAGUACGUGAAACCGUCUGGGAGUAAACGGGUGGUUCCCGAAAGUGCGAAAGGGGAGAUUCAGGUCUCGCCGCGCGCCGGGCCGCUCCCGCGAUAAGGGAUGGCGUCUUCGCGGCCGUGGGGUAACCCUCGGUCCGGAGNNNGCGCCACCCCGCGGGUGCGGACGAUCCCGGCGCCGGAGUGACGCACUUCUCCCCCGGUAGAACGUCGCGAUCCGUCGGUCGCCGGCCUAAGGCCCCGGGUGGAGCCUGUGCGGUCUCGGCCGCGCACGACCCCGGGAAUCCGGGCCGGGUGUCCGACGGUAAGAAAAGAGGAAGGAGAAGACGCGCCUCGUUCGUAGGCGUCCGCCCCUCCGCAAGCGCCCGCGGAAGUGGGAGGCUCCGGGCCCGGCCCGGUCUCCUCCUUCAGCGGGGCUGUUUGCGUUCCGGANGUGUGCUCGGAC
RNAcentral lists this ribosomal RNA (456 nucleotides) under Scapanea frontalis. RNAcentral describes it as "eukaryotic LSU rRNA". Lineage: Eukaryota; Metazoa; Arthropoda; Insecta; Odonata; Libellulidae. The record is from RNAcentral.